RNAcentral lists this ribosomal RNA (253 nucleotides) under uncultured bacterium. RNAcentral's name for it is "partial 16S ribosomal RNA". It matches the Rfam family "Bacterial small subunit ribosomal RNA", at positions 524 to 776 of the family's 1533-position model. The record is from RNAcentral.
GACAGAGGUGCCGAGCGUUAGGCGGAAUCACUGGGCUUAAAGCGUGUGUAGGCGGCCCGUUAAGUGUCCCGUGAAAUCCCCCGGCUCAACCGGGGAACCGCGGGGCAUACUGGCGGGCUUGGGCCACUCAGGGGCAGACGGAACAGGCGGUGGAGCGGUGGAAUGCGCAGAUAUCAGGAGGAACACCGGUGGCGAAGGCGGGUCUCUGGGCCGGAACUGACGCUGAGGAGCGAAAGCGUGGGGAGCGAACAGG